RNAcentral lists this ribosomal RNA (460 nucleotides) under Microbacterium testaceum. Its description in RNAcentral is "bacterial SSU rRNA". It matches the Rfam family "Bacterial small subunit ribosomal RNA", at positions 1 to 479 of the family's 1533-position model. The record is from RNAcentral. Lineage: Bacteria; Bacillati; Actinomycetota; Actinomycetes; Micrococcales; Microbacteriaceae.
CUGAGUUUGAUCCUGGCUCAGGAUGAACGCUGGCGGCGUGCUUAACACAUGCAAGUCGAACGGUGAAGCCAAGCUUGCUUGGUGGAUCAGUGGCGAACGGGUGAGUAACACGUGAGCAACCUGCCCUGGACUCUGGGAUAAGCGCUGGAAACGGCGUCUAAUACUGGAUAUGAGCCCCUUCCGCAUGGUGGGGGUUGGAAAGAUUUUUUGGUCUGGGAUGGGCUCGCGGCCUAUCAGCUUGUUGGUGAGGUAAUGGCUCACCAAGGCGUCGACGGGUAGCCGGCCUGAGAGGGUGACCGGCCACACUGGGACUGAGACACGGCCCAGACUCCUACUGGGAGGCAGCAGUGGGGAAUAUUGCACAAUGGGCGGAAGCCUGAUGCAGCAACGCCGCGUGAGGGAUGACGGCCUUCGGGUUGUAAACCUCUUUUAGCAGGGAAGAAGCGAGAGUGACGGUACC